GGGCGCUUAGCUCAGUUGGUUAGAGCACUUCCUUUACACGGAAGGGGUCGGGGGUUCGAGUCCCUCAGCGCCCACAA
Molecule: transfer RNA, 77 nt
Filed under: Anaerolineae bacterium
Lineage: Bacteria; Bacillati; Chloroflexota; Anaerolineae
Description: tRNA-Val
Rfam family: tRNA
About the family: Transfer RNA (tRNA) molecules are approximately 80 nucleotides in length.
Source: RNAcentral